This 1930-nucleotide ribosomal RNA is filed under the name uncultured soil eukaryote. RNAcentral describes it as "partial small subunit ribosomal RNA". It matches the Rfam family "Eukaryotic small subunit ribosomal RNA". The record is from RNAcentral.
ACCUGUUUGAUCAUGACAGUUUUAUAUGCUUCUCUAAAAGAUUAAGCCAUGCAAAUGUAAGAAAGUACUACUUGAAUUAGUAAAUCGGUGAAAGGCUCCGUAAAUCAGUUAUUGUUUAUUUGAAUGUGGAAACUAGAAACAGUUUCAAAUAUUUAGGUGGAUAAUUGUGGGAAAACUAGAAAUAAUACAUGCGAAAAGAGGAGACUGUGGCAACACGGAAUCCUUGCAUUAACUAGUUGUUUUCAAGAGGUGUACAUUACACUUUUGAUGAUGAACUACAGUUUACUAAAUAGCAGAUUGAUAAUCUUUUUUAUCAACGCUUCAUUCAAAUUUCUGCUUUAUCAAUUAACGUUGGUACGGUAUUGGCGUACCAUGGUUAUAACGAGUAAGGAAUUCUAUGGGAAUGAUUCCUGAGAUUUCGCCUGAGAAAUAGCGAAAAUAUCUAAGGAUAGCAGCAGGCGCGAAAAUUACCCAAUGCAAAAACUGCGAGGUAGUGACAAGAAAUAACGACAGGAUUAUUUCAGUUAUAAAAAUAACUGAAAACCUGAUUGCAAUGAGUACAAUUUAAAAAUAUUAAUUAGAAUCAAUUUGAGGGCAAGUUCUGGUGCCAGCAGCCGCGGUAAUUCCAGCUCAAAUAGUGUAUAUUAAAAUUGUUGUAAUUAAAAAGUUUGUAGUUUGAAGUUAUCACAAUUCAUGGUGUUGGUCUUUUUUCUCUAAUGAUUAAUAGGGACAAUUGGGGCAAUUAGUAUUUCUACUCGAGCGGUGAAAUGCAUAGACAGUAGAAAGACUAACUAAUGCGAAAGCAUCUUGCAAGGGUGUUUUCAUUAAUCAAGAACGAAAGUUUGGGGAUCGAAGAUGAUCAGAUACCGUUGUAGUCCAAUUUUUUCUUUACAGUAAAAAAUGACAACAAAAGAUAGGGAAGAAUUGUAGAAUUACAAUUCUAAAUUGUUAAAAAUUUAAAGGUACUAAGAAAUGAGGAGUAGGGUUUUUUUACUCUACUUUCUCAUAAUAGUUGUCUUUCCCUGAAUUUUGUAAGAAAUUAAGAGUCUUUAGUCUUUGGGGGUAGUAUGCAUCGCAAGAUUGAAACUUAAAUGAAUUGACGGAAGAGCACCACCAGGUGUGGAAUAUGCGGUUUAAUUUGACUCAACACGGGGAAACUCACCAGGACAGGACAUAAUAAGGAUUGACAGAUUGAAAGCUCUUUCAUGAUUGUAUGGAAAGUGGUGCAUGGCCGAAGUUAGUUCGUGGUUUGAAUUGUCUGCUUAAUUGCGUUAACGAACGAGACCUUUUGAAAUAAAUAGCGGUCAUUAGUUCUUGCAAAAGAAUGGGGUCACCUAUAGAAGUAAUAAUUGGGUCAAACUAAUUAUCUUCUAUAUGUCGUUGAUCCUAUUUAUAGGACUAAUCUUGACCAUUCAUGAACAGAGGCGUCAAAAACCUCCUUCAUGAAUCUAAUCAAAAUAUGGCUUCUUAUUUCGACUAUUGAUGUCCAAUCAAUGUAAGUUAAAGUCAAUUUCAGGUCUGUGAUGCCCUUAGAUGCCCUGGGCGACACGCGUAUUACUAUAACAUAGAUAAAGGGUUUAUUAAAUUGUUGGGAAAGAGAAGGAGGAGUCAAAUCUUUCUUCUUUUUUCUGACAUUUAAAUUGCUUUCUAGAAAUGGAUGGCUAAUCCUUUAGGAAUCUAUUUUGUUUUACUUGGGAUAGAUGCUUGUAAUUUUUCAUCUUCAACUUGGAAUACCUAGUAAUCGUAGUUCAACAAACUACGAUGAUUACGUCCCUGCUCUUUGUACACACCGCCCGUCGCUUCUACCGAUUGAAUUGUCCGAUGAGCUGUAAGGAGAAUGAGGAUUGGGAUUUAUCUCAGUUUUUGUUCAAAUUACAUCAAAUCUUACAAUUUAGAGGAAGAAGAAGUCGUAACAAGGUAACCGUAGGUG